RNAcentral lists this ribosomal RNA (481 nucleotides) under uncultured bacterium. Its description in RNAcentral is "bacterial SSU rRNA". It matches the Rfam family "Bacterial small subunit ribosomal RNA", at positions 28 to 524 of the family's 1533-position model. The record is from RNAcentral.
GACGAACGCUGGCGGCGUGCUUAACACAUGCAAGUCGAGCGGUAAGGCCCUUUCGGGGGUACACGAGCGGCGAACGGGUGAGUAACACGUGGGUGACCUGCCCUUAGCUCUGGGAUAAGCCUGGGAAACUGGGUCUAAUACCGGAUAUGACUCCAUGACGCAUGUUGUGGGGUGGAAAGCCUUGUGCGGCUAGGGAUGGGCCCGCGGCCUAUCAGCUUGUUGGUGGGGUGAUGGCCUACCAAGGCGACGACGGGUAGCCGGCCUGAGAGGGCGACCGGCCACACUGGGACUGAGACACGGCCCAGACUCCUACGGGAGGCAGCAGUGGGGAAGUCUUGCGCAAUGGGCGAAAGCCUGACGCAGCCAUGCCGCGUGAAUGAUGAAGGUCUUAGGAUUGUAAAAUUCUUUCAGCGGGGACGAUAAUGACGGUACCCGCAGAAGAAGCCCCGGCUAACUUCGUGCCAGCAGCCGCCGCGGUAAC